This is a non-coding RNA of Pelobates cultripes (western spadefoot toad), 757 nucleotides long. The record is from the annotation of a GenBank genome assembly. Lineage: Eukaryota; Metazoa; Chordata; Amphibia; Anura; Pelobatidae.
UGUAAGAAUAUUAAAUAGUUAACUUGUUUAUAUGUAUUUUAUGCUUUUAUAAGGUUUAUAACAUGAUUAUUGCUGACUGAAGGAAUAUUGAAUACUCAAUAUACGACAUAAUGCUGACUGUGACAGACUAAGGUAUUUCUUCUAUAGGAUGUAAGACAAUGCUAAAUUUCAGGAUGUCUUGCCCAUUCCGAUUUUAAGGAUAUUCUUUCCCAGACGUAUGCAAAAGCUUAUCUUUCCAUUGUCAGAAUAACGUAAUAUAAGGAAGUAAUAAAUCUUAUAGUCUGUACUGUAUUUGCAUAUACCAUGGCUAAUGUAAGCAAACUAUGUAUAAAAGCCAGCUCUGGAAUACACUCAUUUGAGAGUCUUGUAAAGCUGUUGUCCGUGUGUUAUUGCUUACAAUGAUCCUCCAUCAACGUUGAUUAUGGUGACCGAGGGAUCGAGAACCGAGGGGAUUAGAGUCCAUUACAACAUUAACCCUUUCAGCUUGGUGUCUAGAAGUGGGAUAGAUAGAAGUUGGAUCAGCAAAACCAUUGCGGUGAGUAGCCUUUUUGUGUCUUAUUUGACGCUGAUUGUCUAUGACCCCUUUGGUUCAGUAAGUCUGUAUCCAGUAGAUAGGAAAGGUGUAAGGACUCUAGUUAUAUUGAGACUAUAAGAGGUCUCCGGUUUAUUAGACAUUUGGUCUAAAUAUAUAUAGGGGUUCUUGGUAACCCAGGUUAGUAUCUAAGAUAGAUACAGGUUUUUGAGACCAUAAAAGGUC